AAGUCGAACGAAGUAGCAAUACUUAGUGGCAGACGGGUGAGUAACAUGUAGGUAUCUGCCCUUUGGCCUGGAAUAACACGAGGAAACUUGUGCUAAUACCGGAUAAGUCUUUACGGAGAAAGCUUUAUGCACCAUUGGAUGAGCCUGCACUUGAUUAGUUUGUUGGUGGGGUAAUGGCCUACCAAGACUGUGAUCAAUAGCUGAUUUGAGAGGAUGAUCAGCCACAUUGGGACUGAGACACGGCCCAAACUCCUACGGGAGGCAGCAGUGGGGAAUCUUGCACAAUGGAGGAAACUCUGAUGCAGCGAUGCCGCGUGGGUGAAGAAGGCCCUUGGGUUGUAAAGCUCUUUCGCCGGGGAAGAAAAUGACUGUACCCGAAUAAGAAGGUCCGGCUAACUUCGUGCCAGCAGCCGCGGUAAUACGAAGGGACCUAGCGUAGUUCGGAAUUACUGGGCUUAAAGAGUUCGUAGGUGGUUGAAAAAGUUAGUGGUGAAAUCCCAGAGCUUAACUCUGGAACUGCCAUUAAAACUUUUCAGCUAGAGUAUGAUAGAGGAAAGCAGAAUUUCUAGCGUAGAGGUGAAAUUCGUAGAUAUUAGAAAGAAUACCAAUUGCGAAGGCAGCUUUCUGGAUCAUUACUGACACUGAGGAACGAAAGCAUGGGUAGCGAAGAGGAUUAGAUACCCUCGUAGUCCAUGCCGUAAACGAUGUGUGUUAGACGUUGGAAAUUUAUUUUCAGUGUCGCAGGGAAACCGAUAAACACACCGCCUGGGGAGUACGACCGCAAGGUUAAAACUCAAAUGAAUUGACGGGGACCCGCACAAGUAGUGGAGCAUGUGGUUUAAUUCGAAGAUACGCGCAGAACCUUACCAACACUUGACAUGUCGUCGCGACUC
This 893-nucleotide ribosomal RNA is filed under the name uncultured marine bacterium. RNAcentral's name for it is "bacterial SSU rRNA". It matches the Rfam family "Bacterial small subunit ribosomal RNA", at positions 59 to 1000 of the family's 1533-position model. The record is from RNAcentral.